AUGUGGUGCUUGAAUGGAUCCUGGAGUCGGCCAUUGCUCAAGCACACCACCAAACAGUGCCCUUGCAAAGCAGGCCUCAUCCCUGUCCACCGGGCCCAGCACCUCCCGGGUCUACCUCAUCUCAGACAACCCUGCUACUCUGAAUCCUGAUUUGAAAUCUUGGUGAAGGUGUUUAGACCCCACCUGAGGAGCUGUACAUAACAAAAGCCCUCAAUGCCACUAAACCAAUGGGAGAGGGCAGUGCGGGGGAAGUAAAAAAGCCAUUCUUGUGGCCCCCUCCCGGCUUCCUGGAAGCUGCAGUGUGCCUGAUGGGACAGGCAUGUUCCUGGCUACACUGUAGCUGAGCAAAAGGUCUCUGCAUACAGAAGACCAGGAGACCAUAAGUUCACCAUCAAAGAAAAGUCUGCAGCUGGUAGGUUGAGCCUGAAUAAUAAUACAUGCCACAACUCACUGCUGUUCAACUCAUUCCUCAGCUGGGUUCACUGACUUGUGUACCUCAAAAUGCUAUGUUUUGCUGUCUCUUCCCGUCUAUACUCUGAGAUACUAACUCUUGAAUCCUCCCAGUUAAAUAGGAGUCUUGGAUACUAAACCUGGCCAUUUAGAAAUCACAUCCAUUUAUUUGUUCCUGUAGUCAUUAAUUCAUUCAGAAGCAAGGAUUGGAUGUCUCCCAUCUACC
This 676-nucleotide long non-coding RNA is filed under the name Homo sapiens (human). RNAcentral's name for it is "HSALNT0326646". The record is from RNAcentral. Lineage: Eukaryota; Metazoa; Chordata; Mammalia; Primates; Hominidae.